CCCCCCCCUCCAAAAAAAAACAAACCUUGAUGCUUAUAGCAUGAAGGGAAACACUUUACAGGAGUAGAAUAGACAGUUCCACCAUUUAGACACCUAAAAUAUUAAGCGAUUUGUUAACUAGACACAUACAUACAUCUAUUUCAGUAACCUCCCAAAAUCUAGAUUAGGGAGGCAUUAUGGACACAUCAAGGACUUCAUAUACAAGUACCUGUUUCAGUCCUAGUUAUUCUCAGUGAAUUUGUCGAGUAAACCAGAAAAGCAGUACUAUGAAACACUGCACUAACAGCACUUGGCAAAGC
Non-coding RNA from Pelobates cultripes (western spadefoot toad), 299 nucleotides. Lineage: Eukaryota; Metazoa; Chordata; Amphibia; Anura; Pelobatidae. The record is from the annotation of a GenBank genome assembly.